ACGGGAAGCGCAGCCUCGCCGGGGCCCGGCCGGCGGCGGGGAGGUCGCGGGGCCGGGAGGCGCGAGGUUGUUCGAGAAGCUGAAAUAGAAAUCAAUUUCUUGAUUUCAGUAGGAAUAGUGAGUCCCUGAGAGGGGAGAAGCCAGGCCCUCAUUAGUUUAUGUUUGGAUUUCCGUACCAAUGGUUCACUGAUGCACCUGGUUCCAUUCUCUUCAGUGCCAGUUCAUUCUGCAUCACACUAUGAGCCUCCUGCUUGGUCCUUUCCCCAGGUGGGAAUUGAGAAAAGGUUCUCCUCUUCUAGUUGGUCCCACAGGGACUCAGUGGGGUAUGAGGUCCUGGAUGCGUUUAUCCCCUGGUCACACUGCAGAAGGUGCUGAGCCAGGUGUUCUACAUAAAUUAUCUCAUUUGUUUUUUCUGACAACAUAAUAAGAAAAAGAAAAACAUCCAUUCAUGAGAGUCCAGGGAUACAUGAAAAUGAAGCAAAUGAGGAAAGACCCAUUCACAUUCCUCCAAAAGAUCUGCGGCUCCAUGGAAUCAUGUUACUGGCUCCUGGUAGUCCCUGACUUUACCUGUUUGUUCCAGGAACUUGCUUUAUGGCCAUUUGUUCUGAUGAUCAGUUUGGACAACCAACCUUUAUUCCUCCACCUCAGACAAUAUUCAACAUCCUGUAAUCAUCAUAGCGGAGAUUUUCAGCAAAGAGAAGAAAAAUGGUGGAAUUGCAGCAAGUAAAUAUUCUUGGUGGACGAGGAAGAUCAGCCAGAAUCUUCAGGUAUAAAACACAGGGAACCAGAUAUCAGCUCAAGGAAGGAAGAUUUUUCUUAAAAUUUACAGUGGCCCAAAUUUGGACCAUCAGUAAUAACUACGUGUUCUCAAUGUACGUAGUGGACUGAGGUCAAAGCAGAACCACCACCACAGCCUGAAGAGUCCUUUAAAAAGAAACUACCAUCAGAGUGAACAGGCAACCUACAAAAUGGGAGAAAAUUUUCACAACCUACUCAUCUGACAAAGAGCUAAUAUCCAGAAUCUACAAUGAACUCCAACAAAUUUACAAGAAAAAAAAAACAACCCCAUCAAAAAGUGGGCGAAGGACAUGAACAGACACUUCUCAAAAGAAGACAUUUAUGCAGCCAAAAAACACAUGAAAAAAUGCUCACCAUCACUGGCCAUCAGAGAAAUGCAAAUCAAAACCACAAUGAGAUACCAUCU
Molecule: long non-coding RNA, 1204 nt
Organism: Pongo pygmaeus (Bornean orangutan)
Lineage: Eukaryota; Metazoa; Chordata; Mammalia; Primates; Hominidae
Exons: 9
Source: RefSeq, a predicted model, not a curated record